CCAUGCCAAUGUGACGUGACCCACACGCCGAGAAAACCCAGCAACACUGGACAAGCCGUUGUUGGUGUCAACGCCAGUGUGCACUCACUGGGAAUAGGUGCUGAUGGGACACUGGGACAAUUUACACAGCUUCGCGGCCGCUUCUCUGCUGGACACAGCAGACCUCAACCCUCUUGCUACCCGACGAGCCGGGACCAAAGCCACAUCAGAAAAUCCCUGGCGUGGGACUUCACCAACCAUCCCACUCUAAGUGAGAGAGGUCUUGGGCCGGGAUAAAAACAACCACCAAAUCCAGGCAUGAAAGGGUGAACAGCCAUACUCGCAUGACUCACAGGUGGGGAAACUCAGAUCAAACGCUCCAGCAUGUUGCUCCCGCUCUGGAGAGAGGGAAUGGGAGAAGAAAGAGAGAGCCCGCUGUAGUGUGUGUGCCUGCUGUGGGUGUUUCUCUGGCAGUGUCUUAGCUGGUUGUUGUGAGGAGUGAGAACGAAGCAAUCAGCAAGUAUACUGCCGCAGAAACUCUUCGCACUGAGAGGCCCCGGGGUCCAACCCAUCAGAGGAAGUCCAGACAAGAGAAGCGUGGAAAAGAGGAAGCCCAAGGAUGGGAGGGAAAAGGUGCGCACACGUGUAUGAGCAAUAUAUCACGUACGCGCAUGUGCAUACGUGAGAUACAUGUGGGAAAGGUCAUUCACGGUGGAAGACGUUAUUGUGAAUAAAGUGGUUGGAGCUCUGAGAGAGUGGCCUCUUGUUUACAGUUCAUACAAUCAUAUAAAACAAGAUCAAACUUUUGUGACAUGACUUGUGUCGUUACAGUCGUCUGCUGCCAUCUUGUGGCCAAAAGGCAGUUGUACGUGUGUCAAACACUGCAGCAAUUUUAGGUUCGUUCAUAAAGCCUACUUAGGCCUUCAGUCAGACGACUUGGUCUGCCAGAUCCCCACCCCCCUCCGCCAUGUGACUCGUAAUCAUUGAUUCAUCAAUAAUCACACUAAUUGAUUACGACAAAUAAUUGUGUCUACA
Molecule: long non-coding RNA, 1014 nt
Organism: Lampris incognitus (smalleye Pacific opah)
Lineage: Eukaryota; Metazoa; Chordata; Actinopteri; Lampriformes; Lampridae
Exons: 3
Source: RefSeq, a predicted model, not a curated record